RNAcentral lists this long non-coding RNA (1454 nucleotides) under Equus caballus (horse). RNAcentral describes it as "lncRNA (ENSECAG00000044429.1)". Lineage: Eukaryota; Metazoa; Chordata; Mammalia; Perissodactyla; Equidae. The record is from RNAcentral.
CCAUCUAUCAAGCUGCCCUCCUGCACAAGAAGAAUAUCCUAAAAUAACAUGACUGGGAUCUCUACGGAAAGGACUCUAGAGAUAGUGCCCAGAGGAGGCAUAGCUCAAGCCCACCUCCUCCAGGAUGCCCUCCUGGCACAGGCCAUCUCAGCCUUUCUGAAGCACCCACACGUUUGACCUUGACCUCCACCCCAGCCUUUUUCCUAUCUGCCUGAGACAAGUGAGUGUGUCUCAAUGGGCUGUCUAGGCAAGAGGACCUUAAGGUAAGGCUCAUGGAGGAGGUGAUAUUGGAUAUUUGGGCCUUGAAACUUGGAAGAAAAGAAGAACACACCUCAGGAAGGGAGAACAGCAUGGUCAAGGGCUCAGAGUUAUGGCAGGGCGUGCAUAUCCCAUGAAUGUUGCAUGUUUGGUGCGAAUGGAGGCCACCUCCUUGGAGCUCCCUGAAAACUCCUCUCCUGGAUGAGGCCACGAGAGGGACACCAGCUGGGCCAAGGGCACCCUGAGAUAUUGUGGGCAGAUGGGAGUUCCCCCCACCGAACUCCUUUGAAACGACUGACGCUGGAAGUCUGAACAAAGGCACCAGGCUUUAGAUUGCAUGGCACUGAUGCACAGGAGCGCUGCCGUGCAACGCUGCUGGGUUUGGGUCACAGCCUCACAGCGACGGGCUCGCCCUGCCCUCCCUGGACCCCUGGACAUUUCCAGCGCUGACAGCACUGUCUCCAGAGGUGCUGACCCAGGGCUUGGAGCCCUCAAAGCCCUGAGUGUCCCCUGUGCCGUAGCCCUCGUCAAGCUCCGUCACCCCAGGGCCCCUGUGCAAGUUCUUUUUUAGAACUCAAACAGCCUUGGGAGAGGUAACCUAUUAAGUGGCUGAGAAACAUUAAAAGCUGUUCAACUGCAUAACCCAGGACCUGAGUUGAAGUCUUCUUAGCUCAGCCAUUUCCUGGCUCUGUGACCUUGAGGCAGCAUUUAAUUCCAUGGAGUCCGCUUCCACUGGAGAAAAAUGGGAAUAUUGAAAGAACCCUGUGAGAGAGACUGGACUGGCAAGAAUUUGAGAUCAAAGAUAGAACAACACUUUGAAAACCACAUACCAUCGUACACCUGCAGAAGAAUAUUGUUUUCCUUGUUGUCCAAACAACUCGUGCAUUUCCAGGACCACUUUCAUGACAGGAGGGCAGAAGAAACCAUGGGGAGCAGGGGUGAUGAGACCUGGAGCAGGGACAUGGACCCACCAAGGGAAGGAAGGAGCUGGGGCUGAGGCUUCUGCCAUCUCUGUGAAUAUCAGCAAUUACUUCUCAGUUACUUCCCAGCUGGAAAGCAUCUCAUGGAGAUGGGGCUCUGGAAGCUAGAAGAAGCCAUAAGGAUGAUUUUUUUUCUUUUUUGUCUGAGGAAGAUUGGCCCUGAACUAACAUCUGUUGCCAAUCCUCCUUGUUUUUUGCUUGAGGAAGGUCAGCGCU